RNAcentral lists this ribosomal RNA (200 nucleotides) under Fusarium oxysporum. RNAcentral's name for it is "partial small subunit ribosomal RNA". The record is from RNAcentral. Lineage: Eukaryota; Fungi; Ascomycota; Sordariomycetes; Hypocreales; Nectriaceae.
CAAGUAGUCUUUGCAGUAAAUGAUGAAUGCCAUAGGUUAGAUUGGUCAAUUAUAGUCUAGGGUUAGUCUAGCAAACUAAUACCCUAUGCUAUAAUCCUAAUAUCUGGUCUAUAAAUGAAAGUGUAAGCAUUUCACCUCAAGAGUAAUGUGGCAACGCAGGAACUGAAAUCACUAGACCGUUUCUGACACCAGUAGUGAAG